RNAcentral lists this ribosomal RNA (994 nucleotides) under uncultured bacterium. Its description in RNAcentral is "bacterial SSU rRNA". It matches the Rfam family "Bacterial small subunit ribosomal RNA", at positions 28 to 1016 of the family's 1533-position model. The record is from RNAcentral.
AUUGAACGCUGGCGGCAGGCUUAACACAUGCAAGUCGAGCGGGGAUUGGGUGCUUGCACCUAAUCUUAGCGGCGGACGGGUGAGUAAUGCUUAGGAAUCUGCCAUUUAGUGGGGGACAACAUUCCGAAAGGGAUGCUAAUACCGCAUACGUCCUACGGGAGAAAGCAGGGGAUCUUCGGACCUUGCGCUAAAUGAUGAGCCUAAGUCGGAUUAGCUAGUUGGUGGGGUAAAGGCCUACCAAGGCGACGAUCUGUAGCGGGUCUGAGAGGAUGAUCCACCACACUGGGACUGAGACACGGCCCAGACUCCUACGGGAGGCAGCAGUGGGGAAUAUUGGACAAUGGGCGGAAGCCUGAUCCAGCCAUGCCGCGUGUGUGAAGAAGGCCUUUUGGUUGUAAAGCACUUUAAGCGAGGAGGAGGCUACCUGGAUUAAUACUCUAGGAUAGUGGACGUUACUCGCAGAAUAAGCACCGGCUAACUCUGUGCCAGCAGCCGCGGUAAUACAGAGGGUGCGAGCGUUAAUCGGAUUUACUGGGCGUAAAGCGUGCGUAGGCGGCUGAUUAAGUCGGAUGUGAAAUCCCUGAGCUUAACUUAGGAAUUGCAUUCGAUACUGGUCAGCUAGAGUAUGGGAGAGGAUGGUAGAAUUCCAGGUGUAGCGGUGAAAUGCGUAGAGAUCUGGAGGAAUACCGAUGGCGAAGGCAGCCAUCUGGCCUAAUACUGACGCUGAGGUACGAAAGCAUGGGGAGCAAACAGGAUUAGAUACCCUGGUAGUCCAUGCCGUAAACGAUGUCUACUAGCCGUUGGGGCCUUUGAGGCUUUAGUGGCGCAGCUAACGCGAUAAGUAGACCGCCUGGGGAGUACGGUCGCAAGACUAAAACUCAAAUGAAUUGACGGGGGCCCGCACAAGCGGUGGAGCAUGUGGUUUAAUUCGAUGCAACGCGAAGAACCUUACCUGGCCUUGACAUAGUAGAAACUUUCCAGAGAUGGAUUGGUG